RNAcentral lists this ribosomal RNA (465 nucleotides) under Triticum aestivum (bread wheat). RNAcentral describes it as "partial small subunit ribosomal RNA". Lineage: Eukaryota; Viridiplantae; Streptophyta; Magnoliopsida; Poales; Poaceae. The record is from RNAcentral.
AUGGUGCUGAGUAUAGUUGAAGGCAAUGAGUCAACAGAAGGCAUCAAUGAGACCUUGUUAGUUUUGAUACCCAAGGUAAAAGAUCCAAACCAGCUAACUCAAUUCCGCCCUAUUAGUCUUUGCAAUGUCCUCUAUAAAAUUGCUUCGAAAGUGAUCUUGAAUAGGCUUAAAGUGGUACUCCCUGAUAUUAUAUCUCCGGAGCAGUCCGCCUUUGUUCCGGGAAGGUUGAUCACCGACAAUAUAAUUGCAGCCUAUGAAUGUCUACACUUCAUGAAGAGAAAUAAGGCCAAAAAGAGGUGGGUGAUGAAAGCGUAUGAUAGGGUGGAGUGGGAAUAUCUCCGCGCUAUCAUGAUUAAGCUUGGCUUGACACAGAGGUGGGUGGAUAUUGUUAUGGGCAUGGUUACAUCUGUGAAAUUUUCGGUGAUGUUUAAUGGUAAGAAAUUGGAGCAGUUCAUUCCUUCAUGA